This 697-nucleotide long non-coding RNA is filed under the name Trifolium pratense (red clover). RNAcentral describes it as "long non-coding RNA (TPRA_LNC014369)". The record is from RNAcentral. Lineage: Eukaryota; Viridiplantae; Streptophyta; Magnoliopsida; Fabales; Fabaceae.
UUUUUUUUACCUUGUUUGUACCAAUUAACUAAGUAAACAUCCUUUAGAUUAAUUUCAACUAAAAAAUAUAUUAUCAUAGAGUGGAAAUAAAAACAAAAUCACACCACAACAAUUGUAAUACAUAUUACAACAGCCACAAUGUCCAUAAUUGCAAUGCUAGCUAAGAACACAUCUCGACCGUAACCACAAUUUAAAACAUUUUAUGUAGUAUGCACAUCUCACUUGGUGCUUGUCUUCUUACUAGUAAUUUCCUCAUUAUUAAGGAAAUCAAGCAAUACAGUACUCUUACAUUUGGGACAUUUGGGAUCAACUUCUGGUAACAUAACAUACAUAAGACAUCGAGUACAACCGACGAGAAGCAUGGCCUUGGUCUCUUCCGCAAUGUUACAAGACACACAUGAUCCCUCCGACGAAUGAACAACAAAUUCUGUGGAGAAAGAUUCUGGUGAUUGUGGUGAGGUUGCCGCCGUCCCUGGUGGAGAUAAACUCAGCCCCAUUCCUAACGUUGGACUCCUUUCUCUUUUACUCAUCUUAGGUAAUUUUAAAAUUUCUAACAUAUAUGUUCAAAAUAACACUACAUGCACAUAUAUAGGAUACAUAUUUGAUGGUAAGAAAUUUAAUUUAAUUAAAUUGAAUUAAAUGGGUUGUUCACCUAAAGGUGUUCACCUAAAGUUAGAACUAGCUAACACAUUAUAAA